Molecule: ribosomal RNA, 425 nt
Filed under: uncultured bacterium
Lineage: Bacteria
Description: partial 16S ribosomal RNA
Rfam family: Bacterial small subunit ribosomal RNA
Source: RNAcentral
GUGGGGAAUAUUGGACAAUGGGCGCAAGCCUGAUCCAGCCAUGCCGCGUGAGUGAUGAAGGCCCUAGGGUUGUAAAGCUCUUUCACCGGUGAAGAUAAUGACGGUAACCGGAGAAGAAGCCCCGGCUAACUUCGUGCCAGCAGCCGCGGUAAUACGAAGGGGGCUAGCGUUGUUCGGAUUUACUGGGCGUAAAGCGCACGUAGGCGGUUUGUUAAGUCAGGGGUGAAAUCCCGGAGCUCAACUCCGGAACUGCCUUUGAUACUGGCAAGCUAGAGUCCGGAAGAGGUAAGUGGAACUCCUAGUGUAGAGGUGGAAUUCGUAGAUAUUAGGAAGAACACCAGUGGCGAAGGCGGCUUACUGGUCCGGAACUGACGCUGAGGUGCGAAAGCGUGGGGAGCAAACAGGAUUAGAAACCCCGGUAGUCC